UAAAUAAUAAUCAAAGAAAAGAAUAAAUCAUUUUAGGAAAAUGAUGGAUGCUAUUGGGUUAGUAUUUCAUGAUGCAAUAAAGUCAAAGAGUAAUCUUAGGUGACCCCCUCUGUAAACAAUUUCUGAUGUGGUGAAACAAGUAAGUUUCCGAGCACAUACAAUGCAGGAGAACUUCAAAAAAAUGAAAGACAAUAAUGAGAGAAUUCUAUUCAGUGGGAUGAAAUUCCAUACAAGGAACAAAAAUUCACAUGGCAGCUUUAUGUUCUGUUGGUGAUAGAAGAAUUUAAACUUGCUGUAUUAUAUUUCUCUUUUAAUUUUUCUUUCAUUCUACGUGCUCGGAAGCACUGAAACAAGAAUAGAUUGUCAACUUUGUAUCCAUUUCCUCUUGCAAUCAACAGGAAAAUAAUAAGACGAAAAAGAAUAAAAGAAAAUGACAUCUCCUUACUGGAGAAUCAAACAAUGUUUUAUAAACACAGAGACUUAUGAAAAUACCAUGGGAAUUCCCACCAUGUCUACCAGGAAUACUAUCAAGACAUUUUCAUUCCCGAACAACCUACAAAUUUUCACAAGAAAUAAAAUAAAAUUUAGCAUAUCUUUCAUCAUCUACUCAUAUGUAGAUUUGUUGUUGUGAUUGUUGUGGGGAAUUCAUUCCACAUGUAACUGCUUGUAAGCAUCAGUAGAAGAAAGCAAUUUGACUCUUUUUGAAAAAUUAUCUAAACUUACAAUUCAAGCAAUUUAAUAUUAAGGUUCUUAAAUAACCUUUAUUCAAAUAGACCAAAUUCAAGAUGGACAAUAACAUGGAAAAAUGAUGAAAACUAUAAGGCCAAUAAUGAGUGAUCAAACAUACUAGAUGGUGUAUUAGAUCAAGUACUUCCAGUCCAAAAAGUAACUCCAUUCAAUUUCAAAUGCACAACAACCAAAAAAAAAGCAAGAAAGAGUGAUUGUAAAUUUUCAUCAGACAGUAACUCCAUUAAUAGAACAUAUAGCACAUCGAGUGGGGGAUGGAAUUCCAUGAAAGGAACAAAAAAUACAGCAGCCUUUUCUUUUUCUUUUUCUUUUUCUUAUUUUUUAAUGCUAGCAGAAUAUAAACUUGCUACAUGUUUCUCACUGAAAUUUUUUCAUUCUGUGUGCUUGGAAAUAUAAAACAAAACAGACUUGGCUAUAAUGUGAAGUUAUAAAUAAAAGCACACAAAACAUGAUACAAUUUCCUACAACAUACCAAAACUUGCAUGAAAAAAUCAUAAAUAAUAAUCAAAGAAAAGAAUAAAUCAUUUUAGGAAAAUGAUGGAUGCUAUUGGGUUAGUAUUUCAUGAUGCAAUAAAGUCAAAGAGUAAUCUUAGGUGACCCCCUCUGUAAACAAUUUCUGAUGUGGUGAAACAAGUAAGUUUCCGAGCACAUACAAUGCAGGAGAACUUCAAAAAAAUGAAAGACAAUAAUGAGAGAAUUCUAUUCAGUGGGAUGAAAUUCCAUACAAGGAACAAAAAUUCACAUGGCAGCUUUAUGUUCUGUUGGUGAUAGAAGAAUUUAAACUUGCUGUAUUAUAUUUCUCUUUUAAUUUUUCUUUCAUUCUACGUGCUCGGAAGCACUGAAACAAGAAUAGAUUGUCAACUUUGUAUCCAUUUCCUCUUGCAAUCAACAGGAAAA
This 1644-nucleotide long non-coding RNA is filed under the name Jatropha curcas. RNAcentral's name for it is "long non-coding RNA (JCUR_LNC002898)". Lineage: Eukaryota; Viridiplantae; Streptophyta; Magnoliopsida; Malpighiales; Euphorbiaceae. The record is from RNAcentral.